Molecule: ribosomal RNA, 433 nt
Filed under: uncultured bacterium
Lineage: Bacteria
Description: partial 16S ribosomal RNA
Rfam family: Bacterial small subunit ribosomal RNA
Source: RNAcentral
AACGAACGCUGGCGGCAUGCCUAACACAUGCAAGUCGAACGAGACCUUCGGGUCUAGUGGCGCACGGUUGCGUAACGCGUGGGAACCUGCCCUUAGGUUCGGAAUAACUCCCCGAAAGGGGUGCUAAUACCGGUUAAUUUCUUCGGACCAAAGAUUUAUCGCCUUUGGAUGGGCCCGCGUUGGAUUAGCUAGUUGGUAGGGUAAAAGCCUACCAAGGCGACGAUCCAUAGCUGGUCUGAGAGGAUGAUCAGCCACACUGGGACUGAGACACGGCCCAGACUCCUACGGGAGGCAGCAGUGGGGAAUAUUGGACAAUGGGCGAAAGCCUGAUCCAGCAAUGCCGCGUGAGUGAUGAAGGCCUUAGGGUUGUAAAGCUCUUUUACCCGGGAUGAUAAUGACAGUACCGGGAGAAUAAGCUCCGGCUAACUCCGUG